Molecule: long non-coding RNA, 841 nt
Organism: Bos taurus (domestic cattle)
Lineage: Eukaryota; Metazoa; Chordata; Mammalia; Artiodactyla; Bovidae
Source: Ensembl
AGCAGGGCAAACUGUGAGGUGCUGAUGGUUGCAGGAGUGAGAGUGAAGGGCCUUUUCCCUCCGCCUUGCAACCCCUCCUCCCACUCUGCUGAGUGUACCGCCCUUGACUUCAUGGGGGACACUUCACUCAGCCAGUAUAUACUCAGGCUGUGGACACCAGCAUGUAUCCGUGCAUCCCCCAUUAGGACAUGUGGCCCAUCUAGGAUGACUGGCAGCUAAGGAACAGGAAGUAUGCCCCUCUGGACACUGGGUUUUAGCCCGGGUGUUGGGACUGGUCUUGCAGGGGAGAGGAGAGGGCAGGAGAGAGGGCUUACCUGGAGUCACCCUUUGGGUGGGUCUGGGGGUUUCAUUUCCUUUUCCUACAGUGAGUGUGUACACGCCGGCUCCAGACCUCAUCCAGGUGUUCUCAUUAGACGCCGAGUCCAGAAGAAGUAAAGUGCCGGUGCCAAGGAGGAUGGCCGCGCCUUGCAGACAUUGAGGAGCGAGCAGCAGUGACUGACCAGGUAGUCCGUCCUCUGUGGACCCUCCCAGGUGUGAUUCGGAGAACGAAGGAAAUGCGAACAACAGCAGAGAUUCAAGUCGCUCCUGAGCAUUCUGCCCUCUUGUUCACAUACCCCAGUAUGAUGUGAUCAAAGUCCCAGAAAGGAUGCUCAUAAGUUAUCCAAACAUUUGUAAAAUGCAGACAUUGUUUCUGCCUGAGAACAGCGAGCCCAUUGAAUGAGGCAGAGUAGCCUCUGGCCCACUUUUCCUCUCCUUUUAAACUCUAAGUUCUCUUCUUCCAGGAAGCCUUCCUGUGAUGUGGAGGUUCCAGAUAACCCCUCACACUCACAGAUGUCCACUU